GCUGGGCGCAGUGGCCCAUGCCCGUAAUCCUAGCAGCUCGGGGGCGGAGACAGGAGGAUCGCGAGUUCAAGGCCAGCCUCAGCAAAAGUGAGGUGCUAAGCAACUCAGACCCUGUCUCUA
This 120-nucleotide small RNA is filed under the name Marmota monax (woodchuck). Lineage: Eukaryota; Metazoa; Chordata; Mammalia; Rodentia; Sciuridae. The record is from RNAcentral.